UUUCGGGUUUACUUCCUCGAGUCGACUCGGAUUCUCUUGGAGUCGACUCGGCUCUCAGAGCCUGAAAACUGGUCUUCUGUCUUUGGAGUUGAACUGCCUCGGAGUCGACUCGGACUUUGCGGGAGUCGACUCGGCUCUCAGAGACCGAAAAACUGCUCUUCUGUCGUUGAAGUUGAACUGCCUCAGAGUCGACUCGGACUUUGCGGGAGUCGACUCGGCUCUUAGAGACCGAAAAACUACUCUUCUGUCGUUGAAGUUGAACUGCCUCGGAGUCGACUCGGACUUUGCGGGAGUCGACUCGGCUCUCAGAGACCGAAGUUGGCUCUCUGACUUUUAGUCUUGCAUUCCUCUGAGAGUCGACUCUUGCUUUCUUUGGAGUCGACUCGCCAACUGUUGGAGUCGACUCGAGUUCUUCUGGAGUCGACUCGGUUCUCAGAGUCCAAAACAACUUCUCUGUCUUUCUAUCUGUUACUCCUUGGAGUUGACUCGGAACUAUCGGGGGUCGACUCAGCAAGCAUCGGAGUCGACUCGAAUUCUUCAGGAGUCGACUCGAGUCUGUGCCAGAACGUCUGAAUCACUUGGAGUCGACUCGAAAUCUUCCAGAGUCGACUCGCGUUCUAGACUUUGGUUCAAACUGAGUUCCAUACUUAGCCAAAAUGUAUUGAACCAAGGCUAGAGAUAAUUAAACAUAGAUUCACAAAUAUUUGGCUGAAACACUAGAUUGAAUUCAUUAGUAUAACAUAAGAUAUACUCAAAUGCUUUGAGCUCAUCAAAAUCAAAUAGGGUUAUAAUCAAUCACUCCACAAAGGUAUAUAAAAUCUAAAAAGCCCAAUGACUAGUCGGAAGUAAUACAAAUUUAAGUUCUUUUUAUUAAGUCUCUCUUAGGAAGUUGUGCUAAUUAAUACUUUGAAAUUUCACUACACACUGUUCGACCCUUCUAAGGUCUAGGCUCGACAAUAUGUUGAUAGUAUAGUAGCAACCUUGGACCCUGAUGAAUCAUACUUAUCUAAUUCAAAAAAAAAAAAUUCAUCAAUAAAAAUGGAUUUAGUCAGGAACANNNNNNNNNNNNNNNNNNNNUAAUUAAUACUUUGAAAUUUCACUACACACUGUUCGACCCUUCUAAGGUCUAGGCUCGACAAUAUGUUGAUAGUAUAGUAGCAACCUUGGACCCUGAUGAAUCAUACUUAUCUAAUUCAAAAAAAAAAAUUCAUCAAUAAAAAUGGAUUUAGUCAGGAACAUCGAAAAGGGCUACCUAUUGUCAAAGGUCAAGUGGGCUUGUGAUGAGGACUCCGAGCAUAAGUUCGUAGGGGAGUCUUGAUGCGCGACACCUUAUGCCAACUGGUGUGAGAGUUGUCGACUGAUUGCUCGUUACACGGAGAAAUCACCACAAGAGUAAAAGUACACAAUUUAUACAUCUUUCACAAAAAAAAAGAAAAAGUUCUGUAUUGACCUUGAAAAAGACAAUAGUGUGAAAGCCGUCGUUGUAAAAAUUCGAGUAAACUAGAAUAUUACAGAUAAAGCCCGUGAGGUACUAAAGUAAAUAUCCACAACUCUCGAAAUCCUGCAGAUAUGAUGUUUUUGAAUCAGUGAGCAGGUCUUUUCAACCAAUCCUUGGAAACUACUAGUAUUAACAAUAUUUUGGAGAUCCGAAUCCUUAGCUUGUGUACGGUCCAGAUUUCACCGAGCACUCCAGUAUAAAUAAGUCUUACAACUCCCUAACGGAGACUUAAUGACCUCAACUUGAAUUGCAUUUUGACCUAGGAUUUGGGCUGACUUAGUAAAUAAAACCGUGUGUGCUUUGAAAUUCUUAUCAUUUAUGUAUCUUAAAUUAGAUUUUAAUAAUAAUAAAAAAAGAGAGUUUUUGAAAUUCUUAGCUAGUAUGCAUUUGGAAUUUGAUUUUCACGUCAUAGAUUAAUCGAUCUAAAAAUAAUAAUAAUAAUAAUAAUAAUAAUAAAUUAAUAAAAAUAAAAAGAAUAAACAAUCAAAAAAAAUAACAAUAAUAAUAAAUAAUUUAUUUUAAGAUUGAAGUUUGUGGGUAUCUUCACUGGAAAUCCUCACGAGACUAUAACUCAUCCACUAGGAUAACCUAGGGGUUUAAAGCCUUGUUGCAUAUGGUAAAUGCAAUCGCGAUGCCUGCGAAAGUGAGUUAGAGUUUUUUUUUUAAUUUUAUUUUGCUCGAGGACAAGCAAAACAUAGGUUUGGGGGUGUGAUAAGUGCUUAUUAAUUCAUAAUUUAGUUAUCUUUCCAUAACACUUAUCAAUGUUCUUAAACUAAUAAAUACAUAUUUUACCAUGAAAUUGAAUAAAUAUUGAAAUAAAUUUAAAAUAUGGUAAGAAAUAAAUAAUUUUUUUCUUAAAACAGACUCUAAACUCGUCUCUCUCCUGGUUGCGAUCUUUCAUGAAAACAUAUAAGGAGGGGAUUGGGUUGACCCGGUUUAGUAACUUGAUGGAGUUUUAAUCAAGCUAAGGCUAUAAUUAAAUGGGUUUUGGUCCUGAUUCGAUCGAAAGUUAUAAUUAAUUUUGUAUGGGGCAGAGAUUUGAUUAACCCUUUUUAUUAGGUCACGAUCCUGUUUUUAGUCUUGUCUGGUCGAAUUCGAUCUGAAGCAGCUUAGCAAGAAUUAAAUUUAAAUGACAAUGGGCUCAAGGACAAGUCAACCAUCAUGACCCACCUCAAACCCAAAGUCAAUUCCCAACCAAUUUCUUACCUGCCUUCAUAUAAAAUUUAUAAAUUUAAAACAAAAAAAGGGAAAUAAUGAAAUAAAUAAAAAUAAUUUCGGGGAGAAUCACUUAUUCACUGUUCAUAUGAACAAUGUCCCGUAAAAACACUGUUCAUAUGAACAGUGAGAAAUAAUAUAAUUAAAACUGUUUCACUGUUUAUCUCCUUCCUCCCGUUAUCUAUCCUUUCCGUGAUCCUGCCUCACAGAGCGCCCCCUGCCCAUUCCAGCCACGCGUCACAGCCGACGCUCCAAUCCUCCACGCGGUGCAGCCGGUGACCAGAUCCUCCGCCUCUUCAUCCGCCUGCAUCCCCGCCUCCGCACAGCUGCCGUUCCGGGCGUCCGAGACAAGCUCCGCAUGCUCCCAGCGUAUCACGCCAUGGAUCCGGCCACCUCCUUGUUCCGCUCCUCCCAGCAUCGCGUCCCAGCCGCUCUCGGAGUCAGCCAUCCUUCCGCAUCAGGCGUCCGGCGAUCCCGCAUCCAUUCCUUCCACGGUCCAAAGAAAGAAGUCGUCCGGAGCGAUCCUCCCAGCCAUCCCGCAACCAAAUCUCCUCCAUGAUCAACGCUUCCAGCAUCCCAUGAGAUCAGGCAUGAGCCCAAGCAUCUAGCCAUCCCCCUCUUCUGGAUUUGAGCCAUCCAUCCGCGAUCUGUCCUCUGCUUCUUCUUCCGCGAUGCAUCCGGAGCCAGCCAUCACGUUGAUCCCGCGGCUCCUCCCAUCGAGUAUCCCGGAUUCGCAUCCCCACCGGCACGCUCUCAAGGGAUCCAUCACCGGGUGAGAGGGUCUAUAUGAAGAAGCCAUCGGCAGGGAAGAGAGGGAGCUCGGUUGAGGAAAAACAGGGGAGACCCUGUUUCGGUGAAGAGAAGAAGAGAGCCAAACCAGAGAAAAGAAAUAAAAAAAAGAGAGAAGGAGGGGAAAGAGAAUAUUUUGUGAUAUUUUGGAAAUGAUGGGAGGUGAAGGCUUUCAUUUGAAGAUGGGAGGUCAUCCGAAAGCCAUGCUCGGCUAAACGUCUAGUCUAGGGCUGGAUGAAGCCCUAGCAAUGUAUCAGGGCAUUGUAGUUCUUAUUUUUUUUAUUAUUUUGG
Molecule: long non-coding RNA, 3793 nt
Filed under: Phoenix dactylifera (date palm)
Lineage: Eukaryota; Viridiplantae; Streptophyta; Magnoliopsida; Arecales; Arecaceae
Description: long non-coding RNA (PDAC_LNC008634)
Source: RNAcentral